This 253-nucleotide ribosomal RNA is filed under the name uncultured bacterium. RNAcentral describes it as "partial 16S ribosomal RNA". It matches the Rfam family "Bacterial small subunit ribosomal RNA", at positions 524 to 776 of the family's 1533-position model. The record is from RNAcentral.
UACGUAGGGUGCGAGCGUUAAUCGGAAUUACUGGGCGUAAAGCGUGCGCAGGCGGUUUUGUAAGCCAGGGGUGAAAUCCCCGGGCUCAACCUGGGAAUGGCAUUUGGGACUGCAAGGCUGGAGUGCGGCAGAGGAGACUGGAAUUCCUGGUGUAGCAGUGAAAUGCGUAGAUAUCAGGAGGAAUACCGAUGGCGAAGGCAGCCCCCUGGGCCAAUACUGACGCUCAUGCACGAAAGCGUGGGGAGCAAACAGG